GAUGAAGAACGCAGCGACAUGCGAUAAGUAAUGUGAAUUGCAGAAUUCAGUGAAUCAUCGAAUCUUUGAACGCACAUUGCGCCCGCCAGUAUUCUGGCGGGCAUGCCUGUUCGAGCGUCAUUACAACCCUCAGGCCCCCGGGCCUGGCGUUGGGGAUCGGCGGAAGCCCCCUGCGGGCACAACGCCGUCCCCCAAAUACAGUGGCGGUCCCGCCGCAGCUUCCAUUGCGUAGUAGCUAACACCUCGCAACUGGAGAGCGGCGCGGCCACGCCGUAAAACACCCAACUUCUGAAUGUUGACCUCGAAUCAGGUAGGAAUACCCGCUGAACUUAAGCAUAUCAAUAAGCGGAGGA
RNAcentral lists this unclassified non-coding RNA (353 nucleotides) under soil metagenome. RNAcentral describes it as "partial contains 5.8S ribosomal RNA, internal transcribed spacer 2, and large subunit ribosomal RNA". The stretch from base 1 to 120 matches the Rfam family "5.8S ribosomal RNA", at positions 35 to 154 of the family's 154-position model. The record is from RNAcentral.